CUUAAUUGGGCGUUAAGUUGCAGGGUAUAGACCCGAAACCCGGUGAUCUAGCCAUGGGCAGGUUGAAGGUUGGGUAACACUAACUGGAGGACCGAACCGACUAAUGUUGAAAAAUUAGCGGAUGACCUGUGGCUGGGGGUGAAAGGCCAAUCAAACCGGGAGAUAGCUGGUUCUCCCCGAAAGCUAUUUAGGUAGCGCCUCGUGAAUUCAUCUCCGGGGGUAGAGCACUGUUUCGGCUAGGGGGCCAUCCCGGCUUACCAACCCGAUGCAAACUGCGAAUACCGGAGAAUGUUAUCACGGGAGACACACGGCGGGUGCUAACGUCCGUCGUGAAGAGGGAAACAACCCAGACCGCCAGCUAAGGUCCCAAAGUCAUGGUUAAGUGGGAAACGAUGUGGGAAGGCCCAGACAGCCAGGAUGUUGGCUUAGAAGCAGCCAUCAUUUAAAGAAAGCGUAAUAGCUCACUGGUCGAGUCGGCCUGCGCGGAAGAUGUAACGGGGCUAAACCAUGCACCGAAGCUGCGGCAGCGACGCUUAUGCGUUGUUGGGUAGGGGAGCGUUCUGUAAGCCUGUGAAGGUGUGUCGUGAGGCAUGCUGGAGGUAUCAGAAGUGCGAAUGCUGACAUAAGUAACGAUAAAGCGGGUGAAAAGCCCGCUCGCCGGAAGACCAAGGGUUCCUGUCCAACGUUAAUCGGGGCAGGGUGAGUCGACCCCUAAGGCGAGGCCGAAAGGCGUAGUCGAUGGGAAACGGGUUAAUAUUCCCGUACUUGGUGUUACUGCGAAGGGGGGACGGAGAAGGCUAUGUUGGCCGGGCGACGGUUGUCCCGGUUUAAGCGUGUAGGUGUGUGUUCCAGGUAAAUCCGGUUCACUUUAACACUGAGGCGUGAUGACGAGGCACUACGGUGCUGAAGUAACAAAUGCCCUGCUUCCAGGAAAAGCCUCUAAGCAUCAGGUAACAUCAAAUCGUACCCCAAACCGACACAGGUGGUCAGGUAGAGAAUACCAAGGCGCUUGAGAGAACUCGGGUGAAGGAACUAGGCAAAAUGGUGCCGUAACUUCGGGAGAAGGCACGCUGACACGUAGGUGAAGUGAUUUACUCAUGGAGCUGAAGUCAGUCGAAGAUACCAGCUGGCUGCAACUGUUUAUUAAAAACACAGCACUGUGCAAACACGAAAGUGGACGUAUACGGUGUGACGCCUGCCCGGUGCCGGAAGGUUAAUUGAUGGGGUCAGCGCAAGCGAAGCUCCUGAUCGAAGCCCCGGUAAACGGCGGCCGUAACUAUAACGGUCCUAAGGUAGCGAAAUUCCUUGUCGGGUAAGUUCCGACCUGCACGAAUGGCGUAAUGAUGGCCAGGCUGUCUCCACCCGAGACUCAGUGAAAUUGAACUCGCUGUGAAGAUGCAGUGUACCCGCGGCAAGACGGAAAGACCCCGUGAACCUUUACUAUAGCUUGACACUGAACAUUGAGCCUUGAUGUGUAGGAUAGGUGGGAGGCUUU
This 1495-nucleotide ribosomal RNA is filed under the name Salmonella enterica subsp. enterica serovar Dublin. Its description in RNAcentral is "partial 23S ribosomal RNA". It matches the Rfam family "Bacterial large subunit ribosomal RNA", at positions 683 to 2158 of the family's 2925-position model. Lineage: Bacteria; Pseudomonadati; Pseudomonadota; Gammaproteobacteria; Enterobacterales; Enterobacteriaceae. The record is from RNAcentral.